AUGAUGAUAUGGGCGGAUAAGAAUUUGACGUGACGAGAAAAGACAGACAGCCAGAGAGAGAAAAAGACCUGGUCAUUCUAUAGAUCUGCACACUGCUUCCAACAUAACAGGCACGCGGAUCCUGCUGAUACUGGCUCUGUCUUUCUUCCUCGUCAUGGUGCUGUUGGUAUCCGCAGGCUGCAAUCCAGGAUUCAGCAU
Long non-coding RNA from Pundamilia nyererei, 198 nucleotides. RefSeq lists it as uncharacterized. Lineage: Eukaryota; Metazoa; Chordata; Actinopteri; Cichliformes; Cichlidae. The transcript has 3 exons. The record is from RefSeq and is a predicted model, not a curated record.